This 67-nucleotide transfer RNA is filed under the name Pteroxanium insularum. RNAcentral's name for it is "tRNA-Ile". Lineage: Eukaryota; Metazoa; Arthropoda; Insecta; Psocodea; Lepidopsocidae. The record is from RNAcentral.
AAUAAAAUGCCUGAAAAAGGAUUAUCUUGAUAGGAUAAAUCAUGUAUAUUUUUAUAUACUUUUAUUA